RNAcentral lists this transfer RNA (70 nucleotides) under Dopasia gracilis (Burmese glass lizard). Its description in RNAcentral is "tRNA-His". It matches the Rfam family "tRNA". From Rfam's summary of the family: Transfer RNA (tRNA) molecules are approximately 80 nucleotides in length. Their secondary structure includes four short double-helical elements and three loops (D, anti-codon, and T loops). Further hydrogen bonds mediate the characteristic L-shaped molecular structure. tRNAs have two regions of fundamental functional importance: the anti-codon, which is responsible for specific mRNA codon recognition, and the 3' end, to which the tRNAs corresponding amino acid is attached (by aminoacyl-tRNA synthetases). tRNAs cope with the degeneracy of the genetic code in two manners: having more than one tRNA (with a specific anti-codon) for a particular amino acid; and 'wobble' base-pairing, i.e. permitting non-standard base-pairing at the 3rd anti-codon position. Lineage: Eukaryota; Metazoa; Chordata; Lepidosauria; Squamata; Anguidae. The record is from RNAcentral.
GUAAGCAUAGUUUAAGAUAAAACAUUAGCAUGUGGCCCUAAAAAUAGAAGCUAAGAUCUUCUUGCAUACC